Molecule: ribosomal RNA, 468 nt
Filed under: uncultured bacterium
Lineage: Bacteria
Description: partial 16S ribosomal RNA
Rfam family: Bacterial small subunit ribosomal RNA
Source: RNAcentral
GACGAACGCUGGCGGCGUGCUUAACACAUGCAAGUCGAACGGAAAGGCCCUGCUUUUGUGGGGUGCUCGAGUGGCGAACGGGUGAGUAACACGUGAGUAACCUGCCCUUGACUUUGGGAUAACUUCAGGAAACUGGGGCUAAUACCGGAUAGGAGCUCCUGCUGCAUGGUGGGGGUUGGAAAGUUUCGGCGGUUGGGGAUGGACUCGCGGCUUAUCAGCUUGUUGGUGGGGUAGUGGCUUACCAAGGCUUUGACGGGUAGCCGGCCUGAGAGGGUGACCGGCCACAUUGGGACUGAGAAACGGCCGAGACCCCUGGGGGGGGCAGCGGGGGGGAAUUGUGCAAAAGGGGCGGAAGCCUGAGGCAGCAACGCCGGGUGCGGGAUGAGGGCUUUCGGGUUGAAACCCGUUUUCGCCGGGGAAGAAGGGUGAGUGACGGUAGGGGGUAAAGAACCACGGGCUAACUACGUC